RNAcentral lists this ribosomal RNA (471 nucleotides) under uncultured bacterium. RNAcentral describes it as "bacterial SSU rRNA". It matches the Rfam family "Bacterial small subunit ribosomal RNA", at positions 329 to 793 of the family's 1533-position model. The record is from RNAcentral.
CGCUAUCAUCCUACGGGAGGCAGCAGUGGGGAAUAUUGCACAAUGGGCGCAAGCCUGAUGCAGCCAUGCCGCGUGUAUGAAGAAGGCCUUCGGGUUGUAAAGUACUUUCAGCAGUGAGGAAGGUGGGUAUGUUAAUAGCAUAUUCAUUUGACGUUAGCUGCAGAAGAAGCACCGGCUAACUCCGUGCCAGCAGCCGCGGUAAUACGGAGGGUGCGAGCGUUAAUCGGAAUUACUGGGCGUAAAGCGCAUGCAGGUGGUUGUUAAGUCAGAUGUGAAAGCCCGGGGCUCAACCUCGGAAUUGCAUUUGAAACUGGCAAACUAGAGUACUGUAGAGGGGGUAGAAUUUCAGGUGUAGCGGUGAAAAUGCGUAGAGAUCUGAAGGAAUACCGGUGGCGAAGGCGGCCCCCUGGACAGAUACUGACACUCAGAUGCGAAAGCGUGGGGAGCAAACAGGAUUAGAUACCCUGGUAG